UACAGAGGGUGCGAGCGUUAAUCGGAAUUACUGGGCGUAAAGCGCGCGUAGGCGGUUUUGUAAGUCGGGUGUGAAAUCCCCAAGCUUAACUUGGGAACUGCAUUCGAGACUGCAUAGCUAGAGUAUGGGAGAGGGAAGUGGAAUUUCAGGUGUAGCGGUGAAAUGCGUAGAUAUCUGAAGGAACAUCAGUGGCGAAGGCGGCUCACUGGCCCGGUACUGACGCUGAGGCGCGAAAGCGUGGGGAGCAAACAGG
RNAcentral lists this ribosomal RNA (253 nucleotides) under uncultured bacterium. Its description in RNAcentral is "partial 16S ribosomal RNA". It matches the Rfam family "Bacterial small subunit ribosomal RNA", at positions 524 to 776 of the family's 1533-position model. The record is from RNAcentral.